UACGUAGGGUGCAAGCGUUAAUCGGAAUUACUGGGCGUAAAGCGUGCGCAGGCGGUUAUGUAAGACAGAUGUGAAAUCCCCGGGCUCAACCUGGGAACUGCAUUUGUGACUGCAUAGCUAGAGUACGGUAGAGGGGGGGAUGGAAUUCCGCGUGUAGCAGUGAAAUGCGUAGAUAUGCGGAGGAACACCGAUGGCGAAGGCAAUCCCCUGGACCUGUACUGACGCUCAUGCACGAAAGCGUGGGGAGCAAACAGG
This 255-nucleotide ribosomal RNA is filed under the name uncultured bacterium. RNAcentral describes it as "partial 16S ribosomal RNA". It matches the Rfam family "Bacterial small subunit ribosomal RNA", at positions 524 to 776 of the family's 1533-position model. The record is from RNAcentral.